GGGCCGGUGGUCUAGCCUGGUAGGACGCCGCCCUCACACGGCGGAGGUCGGCGGUUCAAGUCCGCCCCGGCCCA
RNAcentral lists this transfer RNA (74 nucleotides) under Candidatus Caldarchaeum subterraneum. Its description in RNAcentral is "tRNA-Val (CAC) (tRNA-Val-CAC-1-1)". It matches the Rfam family "tRNA". From Rfam's summary of the family: Transfer RNA (tRNA) molecules are approximately 80 nucleotides in length. The record is from Rfam by way of RNAcentral. RNAcentral also lists the same sequence under 2 other names. Lineage: Archaea; Thermoproteati; Nitrososphaerota; Candidatus Caldarchaeales; Candidatus Caldarchaeaceae.